Molecule: non-coding RNA, 73 nt
Organism: Chiloscyllium plagiosum (whitespotted bambooshark)
Lineage: Eukaryota; Metazoa; Chordata; Chondrichthyes; Orectolobiformes; Hemiscylliidae
Source: the annotation of a RefSeq genome assembly
GGCUCUGUGGUGCAAUGGCAAGCGCGUUGGACUUGUCAUUCAAAGGUUGUGGGUUCGAAUCCCAUCAGAGUCG